Molecule: long non-coding RNA, 3111 nt
Organism: Piliocolobus tephrosceles (Ugandan red Colobus)
Lineage: Eukaryota; Metazoa; Chordata; Mammalia; Primates; Cercopithecidae
Exons: 4
Source: RefSeq, a predicted model, not a curated record
UAUUCCUUUACUUUCUUAAUAAACUUGCUUUCACUUUACUCUAUGGACUUGCCUUAAAUUAUUUCUUGAGCGAGAUCCAAGAACCCUCUCUUGGGGUAUGGAUUGGGACCCCUGUCCUGUAACAUACUCCUGGCCACCACAGAAGAGACUAUACUGCAGAGACCCCUGACCCAAAGGCUAACUUUGGGUAUGUGGUGAGAUCCAGUGACACCUUUCUUGCAAACCACAAAAGGAACAAUACUGAGGAGAUCCCCCUGACCCAAAGGAAAUAGACUGCAGCACUGAUUGGACGACUUUGGGUAAGUGGUGGGGUAUCCAAGUUAAGAAUGGGAUUGGGAUAGACACUCAAGUUACGGGAGUUAGAGUCUCUCCUAAGACAGAGUGGGUUAGAGGCCCCUCUUAAUAAAAGGCAAGGACACUAGACCGACCUUGGGUUAGAGGCCUAACUCAGGAGGAUUAGAGUCCCUCCUAAGAUUUAGGGGAUUAGAGACCCUCUCAGUAAAGCCCUGUUGGCUAACAACAGGUUUGGCACUGUGGGAUGUUAACUCCUGUUCUCUUUGGAUUAAUCUGCCUUGCAUUCUUUGUUGAUGACUGUGGCCAACAGGGUUAGGCAUGUACAGGAUCAUGGGACACUGGGAGCAUUUUCCUCCUGCAAAAGGGGAAACUUGAGAGCUGAGGGGACUGCUGGAAAAAAUACCUUCACAACAGCAGCUGCAGCCGCCGGAACUUUUCAGUGUCACUACAUUGGGUAGGUCUUUCUCUGGCCUCCCUGAUCAUCUCGCCUUCCUGGGGAAAGUAUUGCCUGUGGAAAGUAUUUCCUGGGAAAAUAUUACCUGGGAAAGUAUUUCCCUUUCUCAUCUUUUCUGUUACUCUGUUACUCAGGGUGGCCAUCGUCCCCAGAGAUCACAUGUUGAAACUCCAAGUCAGAGGUUGGAUUAAAGAUGACGGGGCCCAUCGGGGGGCAAAUUUAAGCCUUACCAGUUUAAUAUUGCGUGCUAAGCAGAGUGGCUAAUGUGUAUGUUUUAUCGCAUGUAUUUUGUUCUGGUCAGAAUGAAAAAAUGUAAUUUUCCUUUAUAAUGCGACUUGGCCCCCAGGGCAAUGGUGCCACAAGCCAGAUCACUGGGACCACUCAGAGAAAGGGAACACAGAAGCCUCGCAUGCCAGCAAAAGGAGUCAAGGAAACUUUUCAUUUGAGCUAUUUACAGCUUUUACCAGUUGAAUAUAUUCCUGUGACAAAAUUUGCAACGUAUUUGUUUCUCUCUACCUGAUUUCUCCAGAAUUUGGAAACUAGUUCUAAAAUUGUCAGAAAAUAAAAAAUUUAAAACAAGAAAAGCAAGGAGACUUCUGGCAUGACAGCAUAAGGAGCUCUGUGGGCCCACUUCCCAAGAAAACUGUUGAAAAUUAUUAAAAACAAAAAUGAAAAAAAAAAAAAAGUCACGUCUCUGGAGAUAGUCCUAAGGAGUACAUCAAAUGAAAAAAUAUUUAUUCAAGAGAAUCUGUCCUUCUGUAAGAACUGUGAGAGUCUGUAGUAUUUGAACCAAGACCAUCUGUUUCCUUCAACCUUCCCAAUUCAGUGAUACGGAAACUAUACUCCACAGUGUUGCAGACAAGAACCCAGGGCUCUCCCUCCCAGCUUCCAGACACAGGGCUGUCUUCUCAGCAGGUCUGUAGUUGUGGACCAUGACAGGGCAGCUGAAAAGACAUGAGGCCACUGGCCACCCACUACCACUGAGCACUCAGCCCUCAAAGCAGGGAUGUCAGAAGUGGACCAUUGUACUCACUCCCAGCUUUACAGCCCAGAUCCAGAGACACUGCCUGAGGGUACAAGCAGAGAACCUGGAAAGAAACGUGGGGGUAGGCCAACCUGAGGUUGAACAAAUAUCAAACAGUUUGGGAACCCAAAAAGCCUGAUUUUUUGUUUGUUUGUUUGUUUUUGAGAUGGAGUUUUGCUCUGUCACCCAGGCUGGAGUGCAAUGGCACGAUGUCGGCUCACUGCAACCUCCGCCUCCUAGGUUCAAGCUAUUUUCUUGCCUCAUCCCAAGUAGCUGGGGUUACAUUUUUGUAGUUUUUAGUAGAGACAGGGUUUCACCAUGUUGACCAGGCUGGUCUUGAACUCCUGACCUCAAGUGAUCCGCCUGCGUUGGCCUCCCAAAGUGCUGGGACUACAGACGUGAUCCACCAUGCUUGGUCAAGCCUGAUGAAAAGCUUUGGAGCAAUUUAUGCCUCUGUGUAUUGUUGAAAGUGGUGUAAUUCUGAACUCGCUUCUCAAACCACAUCAGUGGUCUAUGGUGGAAGAAUCAAGAAUACCCAGGCUCUCUGGUUACGAAGGUAAAAAAUGGGUUCCAACCCUAAGAUUCAUCUGGAAUCUGCUGCUUCCUCUUCAUCUCAAGUCUCACUUCAUAAGGAAUCUUUUAUAACCAGUAUUUGCUCCAGUCAUCAUCUACUUUCAUUCCCUGUAGAAUGUCUUGUUCUCAUGGAGUCAAGAGCAGAAAUAUAUUUCGGGGCUAGAACCAUGACUUUCAGUCUUGAACUGGAAGUUUCCUCUGAAGCCACAGGCUGGUUGCUGAGAGAAGAGAAAGGGAAAUGGCCUUAACAGCCAGGGGCGACCCAACAGUCCUACAGUAACCAUCCUACAGUAACCGCCCUAUAGUAACAGUCCUACGGUAAUAGUACUACAGUAACCGUCCUAUAGCAACAGUCCUACAGUAACCGCCCUACAGUAACAAUCCUACGGUAACAGUCCUACAGUAACCGUCCUAUAGUAACAGUCCUACAGUAACCAUCCUACAGUAACAGUCCUACAAUAACAUCCUACGGUAACAGUCCUACAGUAACUGUCCUACAGGGGUGCCAGGAGACCAUGGGGAUUUCACAGCCUCAUUAUAAAAUCCACUCAACAUUCACUCUACAAAUACUUUUUAGAGAAGCUGAGGGAAGGCACUGCAAGAUGAUGUAAAAGAUACCAUGUUGAGCCAGUCCCACCUGGAUUGUAGACAUGUGGUCCAGGUAAUGAGCCUUAGCUUGUAUCAACCUUUCCCGUCUCAUAGAGGCCUUUACAGAUCUGUUUUUUUUUUUUUUUUUUUUGAAAUGGGGUCUUGCUCUGUAACCCAG